GACGAACGCUGGCGGCGUGCUUAACACAUGCAAGUCGAACGGAAAGGCCCUGCUUUUGUGGGGUGCUCGAGUGGCGAACGGGUGAGUAACACGUGAGUAACCUGCCCUUGACUUUGGGAUAACUUCAGGAAACUGGGGCUAAUACCGGAUAGGAGCUCCUGCUGCACGGGGGGGGUUGGAAAGUUUCGGCGGUGGGGGCUGGACUCGCGGCUUAUCAGCUUGUUGGUGGGGUAGUGGCUUACCAAGGCUUUGACGGGUAGCCGGCCUGAGAGGGUGACCGGCCACAUUGGGACUGAGAUACGGCCCAGACUCCUACGGGAGGCAGCAGUGGGGAAUAUUGCACAAUGGGCGGAAGCCUGAUGCAGCAACGCCGCGUGCGGGAUGCCGGCCUUCGGGUUGUAAACCGCUUUCGCCUGUGACGAAGCGUGAGUGACGGUAAUGGGUCAAGAAGCACCGGCUAACUACGUG
This 468-nucleotide ribosomal RNA is filed under the name uncultured bacterium. Its description in RNAcentral is "partial 16S ribosomal RNA". It matches the Rfam family "Bacterial small subunit ribosomal RNA", at positions 28 to 507 of the family's 1533-position model. The record is from RNAcentral.